UGCAGGGCGCUGGUAGCGGUCACAGCAAAGCAAUGAGUGAGCUGCGCGGGGUGUGUCGGGGAGAUGCUGAAGGAUAACGCAGUUAAAAGCACUUAAGCGGCAAGAUACGACUGGCACGUGCAAAUAGGUAUAACCUGGCCUUGGCUUUGGGGGAAUAUAAUUGUUUGUGUGAUUUUAAAUCACAGAAUCAGCUGGGUUGGAAAGAACCUCUGAGAUCAAGUCCAACCCUUCAUUUUUUGUAUUUUUUUUUUUAAUCCAGUCCGGGUUUCCCCCCAUUCCGUACUCCGGCCAAAAUCCAGUUUGGGUUUUCCCCCCAUUCUGUACUCCGGAAAAAUCCAGUCCUGGUUUUCCCCCAUUCCGUAGUCCGGAAAAAUCCAGUCCGGGUUUUUUCCCUUUCCGUGCUCCAGACAAAUUCCAGUCCGGAUUUUCCUCCACCCCCGAGAAAUUAUUCAAACCGUCUUAAAUGGGGCCUGAACGGGAAUAGAGGCAAGGAUGGAAAGGAGAUCCUGCUCCAGGACUGUUCACAACCGAACGGAAAGAAAAGCGCUACAGGUCCUCUCUGCUGGACAAGAGGUACGCGGUUGCAGGAACAGGGCUAGGUAAGUGCCCGGAGGUAAGAGAGCCUCCAGAUCGAAACAAGGCUGCUUCAAGCAACCAGGGGAAGCAAAUAGCGCCGAAACAAAAAAGACGGGAGAAAUACCUGCCCGGAACAAAAACUGCUCAGGGAAUGGGGUCUAAAUAUGUCCUCAGAGCAAAAGAGAGUUUACGAAGCGAUAAAACGCCUCUUUAAACAACAUGAGGCCGUCUCCGACACGCCGCCCAGCCCGCGAACUCGUUUGCAGACCAGGAGAACUACGAGACCGGCUCCCUCAGCAACUCCGAGCCACCCAGCACGGCCCCGAACCUGCCUUUCCAUCUCCGAGGGUGAGGGCGGCAAGGAGGACCAGCUCGGGGGGAGGGGCCGUACGCAAGCUGCUUUCAGCAAAAAGGAAAAGAACUAUUACCGGAUUCCUGCAAUAUCUGCAAAUGAGAAAUGAAAUCGACUUCAAAACCCACACGGAACAUGAACUUGAACAAGCAGCAACAGACCAGAAACUGUGAAGUAAAAAUCACCGAAUACCUUGCCUUUUGUGUUUGCAGCAGAAUCUCUUAGUGUAACACAUACUAUUAAGUUUUGUUUUGUUGUUAAGAUAACGUUUCCCUGUGUUUCCUAAUUGUUUCAGCAAAAGAAAAGAUUCCCUAAUAAUUCAUAUUAAGAUUCAUGCAGGAUUUCAUGCGAAUAAUCAAAUCAGGUUAUACCAAAAAAGCUCACAGCAUCUGCUUUUAAUAAGUUGCCACUUUAAACACAUAUUUGCCUCAUUGCUUUUACCCUAACACACACCAUACAUCACUGACAAACUGCAGAGAUACAAAAGGACUAGAAAGUUCCAAACAAGACCACAUGGCUGUGACAGCUAUAAAAGGCACUGUGUUUACAUACAGAUUGGAUUUAAAGAGUUUUCUAGGUUUAUGCAAUAAAAACAGGUCCAACAAAGCAAAGUUUUAACAGGUUGAAGUGAAUAGCAAGACUUUCAUAUGCUUCUUAAAACUGACUAUAAAGAUAUGCAGGCACCUUUAAACAGCUAUGACUCCUUCAUAUGCCUAUAUAAUGCCAAGCUUUGUGGCUCAAAUUAUUCUGACAUAUAUAAUCAUACUUUCCAUUUCAGGUAUAUAAAAAGCUACACACUGCCUUGAAAAAAGAGUCUUCUUGCUAAAAUGAAUUCUCACUUGUGGUGUUAAAAGUAAGGCUGUAGAAUUUUGUUCUUAGCUCAUUCUAAGUCAAUACAUCAAAGCAUUGAUAAGCAUGUUUAGUUACCUUGAUAAGCUUGUCAAAUAAAGUAUUCAGUUUUGGACCCUCA
Molecule: long non-coding RNA, 1898 nt
Organism: Corapipo altera (White-ruffed manakin)
Lineage: Eukaryota; Metazoa; Chordata; Aves; Passeriformes; Pipridae
Exons: 2
Source: RefSeq, a predicted model, not a curated record